Molecule: long non-coding RNA, 1214 nt
Organism: Phragmites australis (common reed)
Lineage: Eukaryota; Viridiplantae; Streptophyta; Magnoliopsida; Poales; Poaceae
Exons: 4
Source: RefSeq, a predicted model, not a curated record
GUCACAACCACUUUUGUGCCUACUGGCACCUUGCCUUCUGCACUUGAAGGUGACUAUCACUCAAUGAUGCCUGACGACCAUCGCCUGUUGUUCCCUCCCAGGUUUCCGAGUCUCUAUGUGAAAAAUAAAAUAUUCGAUCAGUUCAAAUUAGAUUAUUUUAAGAAGUUUCGUGGCAAUAAGAUAGGGGAGCAGGAGGCCCGAAGCAAGUAUUUAUCCCAGGAGGAGUACAUGCAGGUCAUGCCCUCCUGGACGAAAAAUUGUACUGAUUCAUGGUAGAGCCUUUCUCGGAAAUGGUCGUCUGAGACUUGGAAGAAGAGGCCAAUGGAAUCAAGAAAGAGAAGAAAUAUGAACAGGCAGCCAAGCCACCGGCAGGGAAGCAGUUCUCUGCUUCGCCUGUGCCAGAAAAAAGCAAAUCUCCUAAACAUCUCUUGUGUCUUUUAAUUCAUUAACGAUAUUAUCCUGAAGUUUAUCUUCUUUUUUGUGGUAAUCCUGAAGCUUAUAGUAAACGUUGGGACCGUGAAUCUCUAAAACAGCUUCCUUAUAGGCCUCCUGUAGAUAGACAAUUGACACAUUAAUGACAGAGCGAGUGCUUAUACUCCAAAAGAUAAUGGGAAAAACAACUGAUAUAAUUACUAGUCUCUGUAAUGCAAGGUCGUUGCAGAGGCUACCAGGGUUGCUUGAGUCCUUGCUUCUGUGACCAUACAAAAAGCCCUCGCUGAAGAUAGAGGAGAGCCGGCGUGCCUGUGACGAGGAGAUGAAGCAACAGAUGCGGCAGGAGUUAAAAGGAGCAGGUCGCAGCAGCUAUACAGUCGACCAACGAGUACUGCCUGUCGUAUCUCCAGAAUUACACCCAGCAGAGCGGAGCCAACAUUUCGCCGCCGCUUUUCCCGGCGUUUCAUCGUGCUUCCCAAGCUGUUUGAAUUUUGCACCUGUUGUGUAUAUGGAAGCACAAGGGUUUACAAGACUUUUUUCCUUUUUUCGUGUUUAAGGGUACAUCUGAUUCAGCCUCUGCACAGCGUGGAACACCGGACGGGCAUGGUGUCAGUGGGAGCGGCAGUGAGCCUGGAGAGGAUAGUCAGGAUUUCAAUUUAGUUUUACAAUUUUUUUCGUUUACCGGCGAAAAGAUUGAAAUUUUAUUGAAAUUUCAGUCAUACUUCGUCCGUUGCUCGGUAGGUUCCAUAUGUUAGUGAAAAAAAUUCGAAAUUAAAUAUUUC